This is a small nuclear RNA of Heterocephalus glaber (naked mole-rat), 136 nucleotides long. Its record names the gene U2. It matches the Rfam family "U2 spliceosomal RNA". Rfam says of the family: U2 is a small nuclear RNA (snRNA) component of the spliceosome (involved in pre-mRNA splicing). Complementary binding between U2 snRNA (in an area lying towards the 5' end but 3' to hairpin I) and the branchpoint sequence (BPS) of the intron results the bulging out of an unpaired adenosine, on the BPS, which initiates a nucleophilic attack at the intronic 5' splice site, thus starting the first of two transesterification reactions that mediate splicing. Lineage: Eukaryota; Metazoa; Chordata; Mammalia; Rodentia; Bathyergidae. The record is from Ensembl.
AUCGCUUCUCGGCCUUUUGGCUAAGAUCAAGUGUAAAGAUGUUGAUAUCUGAUUUUAAUUUUUAAAAAUUCAUUUAUCUAUUUUAUUAGUACAUGUUUCCAGUACGUAAUGAUUACAUUUAUCACAGGGAGUUACU